RNAcentral lists this transfer RNA (72 nucleotides) under Aspergillus tamarii. It matches the Rfam family "tRNA". Rfam says of the family: Transfer RNA (tRNA) molecules are approximately 80 nucleotides in length. Their secondary structure includes four short double-helical elements and three loops (D, anti-codon, and T loops). RNAcentral also lists the same sequence under 3 other names. The record is from Rfam by way of RNAcentral. Lineage: Eukaryota; Fungi; Ascomycota; Eurotiomycetes; Eurotiales; Aspergillaceae.
GGGGCGCUGGCGCAACGGUAGCGCGUUCGACUCCAGAUCGAAAGGUUAUCCGUUCAAAUCGGGUGUGCCUCA